AUUCAACUGACAAGUCCUAAAUAGGACGAGACACACAUCUUGAAU
This 45-nucleotide non-coding RNA is filed under the name Schistosoma haematobium. Lineage: Eukaryota; Metazoa; Platyhelminthes; Trematoda; Strigeidida; Schistosomatidae. The record is from RNAcentral.